CUCAAGUCCUACAGCCUCAGAGCAUCUGCACCUGCUGUGCCCUCUUCCUAGGAUGGCCAUCCCCCCCUCUCAUGACAGAUCCAGCUUCCUUCCCUCCUUCAGGUCCCAGAGUAAAUGCCAUCUGCAGGAAGUGGGUCCUACAUGGCAGGCCCUUGGCCCCCAGCCCUGGUGCGCAAUGCCUGGCACCCAGUACCCGCCUUGUAGACAUGUGACAGAUGGGCGAAUGAACCAACAAAAUGCCCUUUUCUACAGCAUCCUGCUGCCUUUGCAUCCCUCUUUGAGUCAUAGUUGUGCCCCCAGUUUCUUAACUUUCAUUUUUUUUUUUUUUUUGGUCAGUUUCUUACUUUCUCUUCUUUUAUUUAUUUAUUUUUUUUUAAUUUUUUUUUUUGGUCUUUUUCUCUUUCUAGGCCCGCUCCCACAGCAUAUGGAGGUUCCCAGGCUAGGGGUCCAAUCAGAGCUGAAGCUGCUGGCCUGUGCCACAGUAAUGUGAGAUCCAAGCUUCGUCUGUGACCUACACCACAGCUCACGGCAACGCCAGAUCCUUAACCCACUGAGUGAGGCCAGGGAUCAAACCCACGUCCUCAUGGAUGCUAGUCGGGUUUGUUAACCACUGAGCCAUGAUGGGAAAUCCCAGUUUCUUACUUUCAAAAUUCACUGGGGUCUGGAGUCUCAGGGUCUUGGUACAACUGCCCCUUUAUCCUUCUUCUGUUCCCGGGGAAAUGGGCCCUGCAUCCCCAUUUCCAGUGAGACGAGGAAAGACAAGACUAAUCUGGACAGGCCUGGUCUCAGCCCCAUCAUGUGAAGGAGCAAACAGAAGCUCAAUAAGGGAGAAAGGCACUCUGCCUUGGCCCUUCAGUGAACACCCCCACCUGCUCCCCCACCCCACUCACCUCCUCCCCCAACCAGCUCACCUGCUUGUGUGGGUACACGUUGAUGUGGCACUUGAUGCACUCCUGUCCCAUGUUGGCCCAAGAGUUCCCGCUCAUCCAUUUUCUCUUGCACUUGGGACACUUGUACUCUCCGAAACAGCGCUUUUUGCCCUGAUACGGGGUCAGAGAAGUGCUCUGUGAGGGAGCUGAGGCCGUCGGCGAUGUUGUUGAGGGAGCCAUAGGGAGAGGCACUCUUGUACACGCUGCUGCUCAGCGCCUGCAGGGGACAGAGGUUGUGAGGGCUCCAGAGGCCUGGCUACACUUGUUUGCAAACGUGGCCUCAUGGGAACUUCCACAGGCCCGUACAUGCACGCGCGCGCGCGCGCGCACACACACACACACACACACGCACAAAUUCAUAAUGACCUUUUAGUCACCUGCAGGCUCUGGCUUCCUGGGGUCUGCAUUCAAAUCCUAACUCUUGUUGUGCAUCCAUGGACAAGCCAGUUAAC
RNAcentral lists this long non-coding RNA (1381 nucleotides) under Sus scrofa (pig). Its description in RNAcentral is "lncRNA (ENSSSCG00050051691.1)". The record is from RNAcentral. Lineage: Eukaryota; Metazoa; Chordata; Mammalia; Artiodactyla; Suidae.